Molecule: long non-coding RNA, 208 nt
Filed under: Capsicum annuum
Lineage: Eukaryota; Viridiplantae; Streptophyta; Magnoliopsida; Solanales; Solanaceae
Description: long non-coding RNA (CANN_LNC013916)
Source: RNAcentral
CGGGUGAGCCUCCAUCCUCAUGUUCGCUCGAUGCUAAGUACUACUCCUAACUGAAUGACACUAAUACCUGAAAAUCCUUAUAAUAAUAAUAUUCUAAAAACAAUAAUUAAUGCAUAAUCUAAAAGUACUCAAUAACAUGUAAGCUGGAGAAUAUAGCAUUUAUAAGUGUACGCAUGAAAUCCUAGGUCAUCAGGUAUUCAUAACCCAC